RNAcentral lists this ribosomal RNA (135 nucleotides) under uncultured archaeon. RNAcentral's name for it is "partial 16S ribosomal RNA". The record is from RNAcentral.
CGGCGGCUGGCACCCGUCUUACCCAGCCCUUACUCUCCCUGUUUUUUAGACAGGAAAACAGCCAGCACAUUGUGCUGGCACUUGGCUUUCCCUCGUCGGGGUUUCCCCCAUUGCGAAGUUUUCGCGCCUGGUGCA